Molecule: ribosomal RNA, 432 nt
Filed under: uncultured bacterium
Lineage: Bacteria
Description: partial 16S ribosomal RNA
Rfam family: Bacterial small subunit ribosomal RNA
Source: RNAcentral
GCGAACGCUGGCGGCAGGCUUAACACCUGCAAGUCGAGCGGGCACUUCGGUGUCAGCGGCAGACGGGUGAGUAACACGUGGGAACGUACCCUUUGGUUCGGAAUAACGCUGGGAAACUAGCGCUAAUACCGGAUACGCCCUUUUGGGGAAAGGCUUGCUGCCGAAGGAUCGGCCCGCGUCUGAUUAGCUAGUUGGUGGGGUAAUGGCCUACCAAGGCGACGAUCAGUAGCUGGUCUGAGAGGAUGAUCAGCCACACUGGGACUGAGACACGGCCCAGACUCCUACGGGAGGCAGCAGUGGGGAAUAUUGGACAAUGGGCGCAAGCCUGAUCCAGCCAUGCCGCGUGAGUGAUGAAGGCCUUAGGGUUGUAAAGCUCUUUUGUCCGGGACGAUAAUGACGGUACCGGAAGAAUAAGCCCCGGCUAACUUCGUG